UCGGGAAGUGGACAGCGGCGAAAGGGAGAGUAAUACGUAGAAAUCUGCCCCGGAGUCUGGGAUAGCGUUGGGAAACUGGCGGUAAUACCGGAUAACGUCUUCGGACCAAAGAAUUUCGCUCUGGGAUGAGUCUACGACCUAUUAGCUGGUUGGUGAGGUAACGGCUCACCAAGGCGACGAUGGGUAGCGGGUGUGAGAGCAUGAUCCGCCUCACUGGGACUGAGACACUGCCCAGACAUCUACGGAUGGCUGCAGUCGAGAAUCUUUGUCAAUGGACGAAAGUCUGAACAAGCGACGCCGCGUGCGGGAUGAAGGCCCUCGGGUUGUAAACCGCUGUCAGAGGGGAGGAAAUUUUGACUGAACCUCAGAGGAAGGACGGGCUAAGUUCGUGCCAGCAGCCGCGGUAAGACGAACCGUCCGAACGUUAUUCGGUAUCACUGGGCUUAAAGAGUCCGUAGGCGGCCAUGUAGGUCAGAUGUGAAAUCCCACAGCUCAACUGUGGAACUGCGUUUGAAACCACAUGGCUUGAGGAAGAUAGAGGUGAGCGGAACAGAUGGUGGAGCGGUGAAAUGCGUUGAUAUCAUCUGGAACACCGGUGGCGAAAGCGGCUCACUGGAUCUUUUCUGACGCUGAGGGACGAAAGCUAGGGUAGCGAACGGGAUUAGAUACCCCGGUAGUCCUAGCCGUAAACGAUGAUUACUCGAUGUUGGCGAUAUACUGUCAGCGUCC
This 729-nucleotide ribosomal RNA is filed under the name uncultured bacterium. RNAcentral describes it as "bacterial SSU rRNA". It matches the Rfam family "Bacterial small subunit ribosomal RNA", at positions 80 to 848 of the family's 1533-position model. The record is from RNAcentral.